This 74-nucleotide transfer RNA is filed under the name Planctomycetia bacterium. RNAcentral's name for it is "tRNA-Arg". It matches the Rfam family "tRNA". From Rfam's summary of the family: Transfer RNA (tRNA) molecules are approximately 80 nucleotides in length. Lineage: Bacteria; Pseudomonadati; Planctomycetota; Planctomycetia. The record is from RNAcentral.
GCCCCUAUAGCUCAAUUGGAUAGAGCGUCGGCCUCCGAAGCCGAAGGUUACUGGUUCGAUUCCAGCUGGGGGUA